Molecule: long non-coding RNA, 1611 nt
Organism: Papaver somniferum (opium poppy)
Lineage: Eukaryota; Viridiplantae; Streptophyta; Magnoliopsida; Ranunculales; Papaveraceae
Exons: 3
Source: RefSeq, a predicted model, not a curated record
CUUCUUCUUUCUCUUUCUUCGGCUUCUUUCUUUCUUUCUCUGUUCUUCUUCUUCUAUUGAAUAUUCGGGAGAUUCAAUGAAGUAAAUUAAUUGAUGAUAUUGUGUAGAUGAGGAAGGUGAUGAUGUGGUGGUGUGGUUGAAGUCGUUGAUUCAGAGUUACAAGGAAAAUGUAAACCAGAGAGAAUCAAUUAGGUUUUUGAUAUUAAAAUUCAUUUCUGUGUGGAACAUGUUGUACUGAUAAUAUGAAGUUGUUCUGAAGAUGAAUCGAAGAAUCAAAGAGUUGGGCUUUCUCAGAGAAUUGAAUCAAAGUUCGAAUUGGUGAUGUAUAAGAAGAAUUAAAGACUGGGUUUAGCUAAUUGUGAGGAAAGGGUUGAAGUUAAUUUGAUAAUAUAGAGUUGUUCAUGAAGAAUUGUGAAAAUUAGGGUUCAUGUGCUCUGCCCCAAAACAGAAAUUAGGUUUUCAGAAGAAUUAAUUUUGUGAUGUAGUUGUUCAGUGGGUGUUGAUGAUUGGGUAAGCCUAUAAACAAUCUUAAUUCUAGUAUUUUGAUUUGAACCGUUUUAAUUAUUGGACUUAUGAAUAAGAAUUGAGAUUGGAUAAGUUAAUUGAGCUAAUGGAGUUUCUGGUUGUGUGUGACUGGAGUAGAGGAAUGUUAGGAUAUUACAGAGAUGAUGAAGGUGGUGACUGUGAAGAGAAUAUGUUUAAACUUAGGAAUGAAUUGUUAUUGCAGAUGGAACAAGCUUGAUAUGGGUGAACUUGAGUUACAGGAUUGUUAACUUAAGAAGUAUAAGAGUGAUUGGUGUUGGUAAUAUCCGUGUAGAGGUUGUGGAACUAAAUUGUCUGUGUAUGUGAAGUUGCAGGUGUUAUGGCGUGAAUUGGUAGUGAACUAUGAUAUCUGCAGGUAGAGGUGUAAUAGGUGGAGGUACAUGGAGUGAAGUUGGGAGUAAUGGGUUGCUUGCACUAGCAGUGGUGAUGUUAUAGAAUAUGGUAGUGUUUGGGGGAUAGAUGGUGGAGCUGCAGUUAUGGUUUAGGUGGAUGGAAUGAACUGAGUUGUUAAUGAUGUGGUUCUGAACUGAAUUGGAUGCUAAUGCAAGAUGUUGUAGAAGUGUAUCUAGAGAUGAAGUUAUAGAUGGAUACUAAAUAGGUGUUAGUUGUAUUUACAUAUAUAGAUAGAGUUGGAUUGGUGGUGUAGUUAGCUGAAGUGAAAUGUUUGUAUGAUUGUAUUUGUAGGAAUGAAGGUUAGAUGAACUUUGGAGUUGAAUCUGUGCAGUGAGAGGCUUGCAGUUGCUGCCUAAAGUUAGUCUUUAUUAACAACGACCGAUUCAAAGGAUGAACCAGUGGAUCGUGGAUUCGAGGUAGGCGUGGCUUGUCAUCAAAAGAGUUUCAGAGACAGAUCAGAGUUGCGCAGCGAAAGCUUCGAGGACGUUGAGUCUGUUUUUUAGAUUGCUUUUGCUAUGUUUAUCAAGUUGUAUAUUGUAUUUGAAAACCAACUGACUAUUGUAUAUGUAUCAUUUGAGAGGAGCUCUUGUAUAUAUAUUUCUGAGCGGGGCUAGUUUUGGGUUAAGUUUUGUAGCAGAUUCCUUGAUUGAAUGUUUAAGUAAAUGAUUUAGAUUC